CCUUCGAUAGCUCAGUUGGUAGAGCGGUGGACUGUAGUUGUACAAUUGUUUAAACAAAUGGACAUCCAUAGGUCGCUGGUUCAAAUCCGGCUCGAAGGA
Molecule: transfer RNA, 99 nt
Filed under: Ooceraea biroi (clonal raider ant)
Lineage: Eukaryota; Metazoa; Arthropoda; Insecta; Hymenoptera; Formicidae
Rfam family: tRNA
About the family: Transfer RNA (tRNA) molecules are approximately 80 nucleotides in length. Their secondary structure includes four short double-helical elements and three loops (D, anti-codon, and T loops).
Source: Rfam by way of RNAcentral